UACGGGGGGAGCAAGCGUUGUUCGGAUUUACUGGGCGUAAAGGGCGCGUAGGCGGCCUGCUAAGUCGAACGUGAAAUCCCUGGGCUCAACCCAGGAACUGCGUCCGAUACUGGUUGGCUUGAAUCCGGGAGAGGGAUGUGGAAUUCCAGGUGUAGCGGUGAAAUGCGUAGAGAUCCGGAAGAACACCGGUGGCGAAGGCGGUCUGCUGGGCCAAGACUGACGCUGAGGCGCGACAGCGUGGGGAGCAAACAGGG
This 254-nucleotide ribosomal RNA is filed under the name uncultured bacterium. RNAcentral describes it as "partial 16S ribosomal RNA". It matches the Rfam family "Bacterial small subunit ribosomal RNA", at positions 524 to 777 of the family's 1533-position model. The record is from RNAcentral.